GGGCGUAAGCGCGCGUAGGCGGUUUCUUAAGUCUGAUGUGAAAGCCCACGGCUCAACCGUGGAGGGUCAUUGGAAACUGGGAAACUUGAGUGCAGAACAGGAAAGUGGAAUUCCAUGUGUAGCGGUGAAAUGCGCAGAGAUAUGGAGGAACACCAGUGGCGAAGGCGACUUUCUGGUCUGUAACUGACGCUGAUGUGCGAAAGCGUGGGGAUCAAACAGGAUUAGAUACCCCCGUAGUCCA
RNAcentral lists this ribosomal RNA (241 nucleotides) under Staphylococcus sp. Its description in RNAcentral is "partial 16S ribosomal RNA". It matches the Rfam family "Bacterial small subunit ribosomal RNA", at positions 556 to 797 of the family's 1533-position model. Lineage: Bacteria; Bacillati; Bacillota; Bacilli; Caryophanales; Staphylococcaceae. The record is from RNAcentral.